AAGUCGUAACAAGGUUUCCGUAGGUGAACCUGCGGAAGGAUCAUUAUCACGUAUCCACGUAUAAACCAUUGCGAACUGUUUGUACCUUUGGAGGAAAUGGGGUUCGUUUUUUGUUGGAGCGGGCACAUGGGAGCUUCUUGUGAUUUAUAAGCUCUCGCUCGAUUUCCAACCAAUGGCUUCGGCUGUUUUACCUGUUUUCUCUGAAGUGUAUUUUAUAAAUCACUUUUCUCAUUAACCCUUUAAACCACAAUCUUUAAAACUUCUGAACUAAUCUAUUUCUUACUCUUCGGAGAAGAAAUUUUAUUACGAAACUAAAGAACAACUCUUAGCAACGGAUAUCUUGGUUCUC
RNAcentral lists this unclassified non-coding RNA (349 nucleotides) under fungal sp. Its description in RNAcentral is "partial internal transcribed spacer region". The stretch from base 1 to 46 matches the Rfam family "Eukaryotic small subunit ribosomal RNA", at positions 1786 to 1831 of the family's 1831-position model. The record is from RNAcentral. Lineage: Eukaryota; Fungi.